RNAcentral lists this ribosomal RNA (391 nucleotides) under uncultured Nitrospina sp. RNAcentral's name for it is "bacterial SSU rRNA". It matches the Rfam family "Bacterial small subunit ribosomal RNA", at positions 29 to 410 of the family's 1533-position model. The record is from RNAcentral. Lineage: Bacteria; Pseudomonadati; Nitrospinota; Nitrospinia; Nitrospinales; Nitrospinaceae.
AACGAACGCUGGCGGUGUGCUUAACACAUGCAAGUCGAACGAGAAAGUUUCCUUCGGGGAGCUAGUAAAGUGGCGCAAGGGUGAGUAGCACGUGAAUAAUCUGCCCUCGAGAUCGGGAUAACCUGAGGAAACUUAGGCUAAUACCGGAUAAGACCACAUUUCAUAUGGAAUGUAGGGAAAAGGAGUCUCAAUCUUCACUCGAGGAUGAGUUCGCGGACCAUUAGCUUGUUGGUGAGAUAAAAGCUCACCAAGGCAACGAUGGUUAGCCGGCCUGAGAGGGCGAUCGGCCACACUGGAACUGAGACACGGUCCAGACUCCUACGGGAGGCAGCAGUGGGGGAAUAUUGCGCAAUGGGCGAAAGCCUGACGCAGCAACGCCGUGCGAGCGAUG